ANGGNAUGCCUUAGUAGCGGCGAGUGAAGCGGCAAAAGCUCAAAUUUGAAAUCUGGCUCUUUCAGAGUCCGAGUUGUAAUUUGAAGAAGGUAUCUUUGGGUCUGGCUCUUGUCUAUGUUUCUUGGAACAGAACGUCACAGAGGGUGAGAAUCCCGUGCGAUGAGAUGAUCCAGGCCUAUGUAAAGUUCCUUCGAAGAGUCGAGUUGUUUGGGAAUGCAGCUCUAAGUGGGUGGUAAAUUCCAUCUAAAGCUAAAUAUUGGCGAGAGACCGAUAGCGAACAAGUACAGUGAUGGAAAGAUGAAAAGAACUUUGAAAAGAGAGUGAAAAAGUACGUGAAAUUGUUGAAAGGGAAGGGCUUGAGAUCAGACUUGGUAUUUUGUAUGUUACUUCUUCGGGGGUGGCCUCUACAGUUUAUCGGGCCAGCAUCAGUUUGGGCGGUAGGAGAAUUGCGUUGGAAUGUGGCACGGCUUCGGUUGUGUGUUAUAGCCUUCGUCGAUACUGCCAGCCUAGACUGAGGACUGCGGUUUAUACCUAGGAUGUUGGCAUAAUGAUCUUAAGUCGCCCGUCUUGAAACACGGACCAA
Molecule: ribosomal RNA, 583 nt
Filed under: Candida tropicalis
Lineage: Eukaryota; Fungi; Ascomycota; Pichiomycetes; Serinales; Debaryomycetaceae
Description: partial large subunit ribosomal RNA
Rfam family: Eukaryotic large subunit ribosomal RNA
Source: RNAcentral